RNAcentral lists this ribosomal RNA (248 nucleotides) under uncultured bacterium. Its description in RNAcentral is "partial 16S ribosomal RNA". It matches the Rfam family "Bacterial small subunit ribosomal RNA", at positions 84 to 334 of the family's 1533-position model. The record is from RNAcentral.
UUUGAUGGCGACCGGCGCACGGGUGAGUAACACGUAUCCAACCUGCCGAUGACUCGGGGAUAGCCUUUCGAAAGAAAGAUUAAUACCCGAUGGCAUAGUUCUUCCGCAUGGUAGAACUAUUAAAGAAUUUCGGUCAUCGAUGGGGAUGCGUUCCAUUAGGUUGUUGGCGGGGUAACGGCCACCAAGCCUUCGAUGGAUAGGGGUUCUGAGAGGAAGGUCCCCCACAUUGGAACUGAGACACGGUCCAA